GCUUCCCUCCCAUUUUUGCUGAUUUUCAUCUUCUUCUUUAGAAGCUCUUACUCACAUAAAAAAGAGAACCAGCAGCGAUAGGGAACUCACAAGAAAAUUCAGACUUAAAAAAAAACAGGGCAAGAGGAGUGGGAAAUCGCAUCGAGUGGUUGAGGCUGAAAUCCGGUCCGCACCUGCGCUUUGUCCGAGAUCGAAGUGUAAUCACAUUCAAGAUAAAACUAUAUAGUACAAAGGUAUUUUCCCUUUUCUACCUUGCUUCAAUUUUUAAUUCAUAUAUCAUGAA
Molecule: long non-coding RNA, 283 nt
Filed under: Nicotiana benthamiana
Lineage: Eukaryota; Viridiplantae; Streptophyta; Magnoliopsida; Solanales; Solanaceae
Description: long non-coding RNA (NBEN_LNC018783)
Source: RNAcentral